Molecule: ribosomal RNA, 253 nt
Filed under: uncultured bacterium
Lineage: Bacteria
Description: partial 16S ribosomal RNA
Rfam family: Bacterial small subunit ribosomal RNA
Source: RNAcentral
UACGGAGGGAGCUAGCGUUGUUCGGAAUUACUGGGCGUAAAGCGCACGUAGGCGGCUUUGUAAGUUAGAGGUGAAAGCCCGGGGCUCAACUCCGGAACUGCCUUUAAGACUGCAUCGCUUGAAUCCAGGAGAGGUGAGUGGAAUUCCGAGUGUAGAGGUGAAAUUCGUAGAUAUUCGCAAGAACACCAGUGGCGAAGGCGGCUCACUGGCUCGGUACUGACGCUGAGGUGCGAAAGCGUGGGGAGCAAACAGG